RNAcentral lists this small RNA (635 nucleotides) under Pan troglodytes (chimpanzee). RNAcentral describes it as "retained intron". The record is from RNAcentral. Lineage: Eukaryota; Metazoa; Chordata; Mammalia; Primates; Hominidae.
ACUAAGGGCUAAGUUUCUCCACCAGCGGGAGAGCCACCGUGUGGUGUCACGACUGCCCCGGGGAGGGGUUCUGGCUUGGGGCCAGCUUUGCCUGCUUCCCUGCAGCUGUGGUGGGGUGGGUGCCACCAGACGCCCCUGCAUCUGUACGGCAGAAGGGCCUGUCCUCACCGCAGACAGCACGGAGGGUGGGGGCAGCAGAUGCCUCCCCCGUGGGUGCCUCUUGCCCAGCGUGGGCAGAGAGGAGCGGGCUGAGCUGUCCCGGCCUGAGCAGGGAGCGGCAGCUGCCCAUGCUGCUGGGGGCGAUUGCCUGGUGCUCACACCCCAUCCCCGCCUCCCUACAGGGGCUUCGCCCUCUACAAUGCUGCCAACCUCAAGAGCAUCGACUUCCACCGCAGGAUAGAGGAGAAGUCCCUGGCCCAGCUGAAAAGACAGUAGGUGCCCCUGGGGCGGGGACUCCCCGGCUCCUCCACCCAAUGCUCAGCAUCCCCCACCUUUCCCCCCAACAGGAUGGAGCGUAUCCGUGCCAAGCAGGAGAAGCACAGGCAGGGCCGGGUGGACCGCAGUCGUCCCCAGGACACCCUGGGCCCCAAGGACCCCGGCCUGGAGCCAGUCAUCCACUCUGGGGACUACUUCCU